ACGUCAAACAACACAAUGAUAAGAGUUAGGAAAACAUAACCAAACAUUUGACGUUUGAAUUUAUAUUAUCAAUGGGACAAAGUUCCGGAUGUAAUUGUUUUGCUUGAAACAUGUAACGUGUGAGUAGACUUGGAUGCAGAUUAUCAAAUUCAGUCGUUCAAUUGAAAGGAGCUAUUGUGCCAACGAAUCAAAUAAGAUCUAGAAUAAGAUGCCUUUUUUCUGGCGAAGAGCUGGGAAUUAAAAAUUACGAAUUGGUUCGAAAACAAGUCGGAGAAUAUUUAAAAAAUGUCGUGUAAAUAUGAUUCGUGGAUCAAGAUUGCAAUUUUACAAAGUAUGAAACUGAACUAAACAAUUUGCUUCACGUUGUCGACAAGAGUGAAAACGAUAUGAUUAUUCUGAAAGAAGCAUUGAACAGUUGAACACAUUAAUUGAAAAACAAAGAAAUUAACAAAAUCAUUGAUCUUUGUUGUGCGCGUAUUGGGGACGACAUAAUACGUAUAAGAAACUGACUUUAGCGUCACUUUCUGCGUUUUCUCCUGUUGGAUUGGGCUCGACUGAUACAAGAGUGUUUUUAUCCUCAUCUUUUGACGUGCCAUUUGUUCCAUUUAUGCCUUAAUAGACAAUAUUUUUGAUAUGAAAACAUAAUUUUAAUUAAAUAUCAUAUUAAAAUAUUCAUUCAUGUAAAUUCACCUAGAUCAGAGAAUAUUACAUCACGAUACUAUCGUGAAAAUAGAGACUUUUCGAUUUGAUAAUGAUAACAAAUGGAGCAAAUAUUUUCUAUGGUCUGCGCUCCCGAAAAUCCAAACAAUAAAUCAUAGACCGGUGCUAAGCAUAAGCCCGAAUAAAAAAGCUGCCUUGCAGUCGUGAAUCCAACGAUGGAGACAAUGAUUAAAAACCAAAAUUGGGUCUUCGAAGACGCAAUCUCCAGCCAUAUCGACAUAUCGAUUGUGUCAGACAACUAAUAGUUGAAAAUUAUUUACAGUCAUCUCCACUUAUAAACACGUUAAGUAUGGUGAACACGAAUUUUUGCAGCGAUUUGAUGGAUAUGUGUGUGUGUUUAUAAGUGGAUAUCAUCAUCCGCGUAAACUUGAUGCCAAAUCGGGAUAUUCCGUCUAUUUUGGUCCGGAUCAUAAAUUGAAUUUGCAAGGAAGUGUUGAGCGCCGGCAAGCAUUGCGCCAUGCAAAACUGUAUGCCGUCUUGAAAGAAAUGGAACCAAUUUCAAAAUAUUCCUUUGAAAAAUGGUGCAUUCAGACCGAUCAACUUGGACUGAUUACGUUUAUCGAUCGAAGCUUACGAAGCAUGAGUGAAAAUUCAUUUCGCAGUGUCCACACUGGCAAAUUAAUUAAGGACUUACAAACAUCCAUGGAAUUAAAUAAAAUUCAUAGGUCGAGACAACAUCUGACAUUGCAAUUAAUGGUUUGCCCGAAUGAUAUUGGUGUUAUUGGCAUGUACUAUGCAGUAAAAAUGGCAGAACAAGCUGCUGUCAUAGCUGCAGCAGACACUAGAAAACAGAUAAUCGAAUGUAAAUAUAAUUUAGAGUAAGUUUUUCAUUUGGAAAUGUACAUUUAAUGUAUCAAUGUAUGGUCUAUUCCGUUCAAAACUUUUGUGCAAAUAUAUACAAUUCAUAAAAAUGCGAAAAUUAUAAAAUAAAUGUGAACAAUCUAUGAAGAAAAUAAUAAUAUUUCAACGAAGAAAUGUUUUAUCAGUCAAAAAACGUCGAACAAAUGAUUAGAGAACACGUUUUAAGAGGUUUUAU
This is a long non-coding RNA of Contarinia nasturtii (swede midge), 1756 nucleotides long. RefSeq lists it as uncharacterized. The record is from RefSeq and is a predicted model, not a curated record. NCBI's taxonomy places the organism in Eukaryota, Metazoa, Arthropoda, Insecta, Diptera, Cecidomyiidae. The transcript is spliced from 6 exons.